GGUAUUGUGGCCGAGUGGUUAAGGCGGCAGUUUAAGGGACUGUUUCUUCGGAGCGCAGGUUCGAAUCCUGUCAAUACCA
RNAcentral lists this transfer RNA (79 nucleotides) under Anaeramoeba flamelloides. RNAcentral's name for it is "tRNA-Leu". It matches the Rfam family "tRNA". From Rfam's summary of the family: Transfer RNA (tRNA) molecules are approximately 80 nucleotides in length. Lineage: Eukaryota; Anaeramoebidae. The record is from RNAcentral.